RNAcentral lists this ribosomal RNA (247 nucleotides) under uncultured bacterium. RNAcentral's name for it is "partial 16S ribosomal RNA". It matches the Rfam family "Bacterial small subunit ribosomal RNA", at positions 526 to 779 of the family's 1533-position model. The record is from RNAcentral.
CGUAGGUGCGAGCGUUGUCCGGAAUUAUUGGCGUAAGAGCUUGUAGGCGGUUUGUCGCGUCUGCUGUGAAAUCCGGGCUCAACCCCGGACUUGCAGUGGGUACGGGCAGACUAGAGUGUGGUAGGGAGACUGGAAUUCCUGGUGUAGCGGUGAAAUGCGCAGAUAUCAGGAGGAACACCGAUGGCGAAGGCAGGUCUCUGGGCCAUUACUGACGCUGAGAAGCGAAAGCAUGGGAGCGAACAGGAUU